RNAcentral lists this ribosomal RNA (253 nucleotides) under uncultured bacterium. RNAcentral's name for it is "partial 16S ribosomal RNA". It matches the Rfam family "Bacterial small subunit ribosomal RNA", at positions 524 to 776 of the family's 1533-position model. The record is from RNAcentral.
UACGAAGGUCCCGAGCGUUGUUCGGAAUCACUGGGCGUAAAGGGUGCGUAGGCGGCGCGGUAAGUCAGAUGUGAAAUCCCGGGGCUCAACCCCGGAACUGCAUCCGAUACUGCCGUGCUAGAGGAUUGGAGAGGUAGCUGGAAUUCUUGGUGUAGCAGUGAAAUGCGUGGAGAUCAAGAGGAACACUCGUGGCGAAAGCGAGCUACUGGACAAUAUCUGACGCUGAGGCUCGAAGGCCAGGGUAGCGAAAGGG